AUUAACGCUAGCGGCAGGCAUAAUACAUGCAAGUUGAACGGCAGCACAGGUAGCAAUACUGGGUGGCGAGUGGCGCACGGGUGCGUAACACGUAUGCAACCUACCCUAUACAGGCGAAUAACCUUUAGAAAUGAGGGCUAAUACGCCGUAGUAUUACAGAUGGGCAUCUAUUUGUAAUUAAAGAUUUAUCGGUAUAGGAUGGGCAUGCGUCCCAUUAGUUAGUUGGUAAGGUAACG
RNAcentral lists this ribosomal RNA (236 nucleotides) under uncultured bacterium. RNAcentral describes it as "partial 16S ribosomal RNA". It matches the Rfam family "Bacterial small subunit ribosomal RNA", at positions 29 to 262 of the family's 1533-position model. The record is from RNAcentral.